GAACGACUCUCGGCAACGGAUAUCUCGGCUCUCGCAUCGAUGAAGAACGUAGCGAAAUGCGAUACUUGGUGUGAAUUGCAGAAUCCCGUGAACCAUCGAGUCUUUGAACGCAAGUUGCGCCCGAAGCCACUAGGCCGAGGGCACGCCUGCCUGGGUGUCACAC
Molecule: ribosomal RNA, 163 nt
Filed under: Lespedeza hispida
Lineage: Eukaryota; Viridiplantae; Streptophyta; Magnoliopsida; Fabales; Fabaceae
Description: 5.8S ribosomal RNA
Rfam family: 5.8S ribosomal RNA
About the family: 5.8S ribosomal RNA (5.8S rRNA) is a component of the large subunit of the eukaryotic ribosome. It is transcribed by RNA polymerase I as part of the 45S precursor that also contains 18S and 28S rRNA.
Source: RNAcentral